UGCGUAGGCGGAUUAGUAAGUCAGUGGUGAAAGCCCGUCGCUUAACGGCGGAACUGCCAUUGAUACUGCUAGUCUUGAGUAUGGUUGAGGUGGGCGGAAUGUGUCAUGUAGCGGUGAAAUGCUUAGAUAUGACCCAGAACACCAAUUGCGAAGGCAGCUCGCUAAACCAUAACUGACGCUGAUGCACGAAAGCGUGGGGAGCGAACAGGAUUAGAUACCCUGGUAGUCC
RNAcentral lists this ribosomal RNA (229 nucleotides) under uncultured bacterium. RNAcentral's name for it is "partial 16S ribosomal RNA". It matches the Rfam family "Bacterial small subunit ribosomal RNA", at positions 568 to 796 of the family's 1533-position model. The record is from RNAcentral.